Candidatus Accumulibacter sp. SK-11 is the source of this 177-nucleotide non-coding RNA. The record is from Rfam. Lineage: Bacteria; Pseudomonadati; Pseudomonadota; Betaproteobacteria.
AACGACGCGAGCUCUGCGAGCGGUUGGAAGCCCAAUCCAAAGCUGCGGGGCGAUGAACAAAAACCGGAUAUGAGGCGUGAUGCAUCCGGGGCGAGCGGGCACGUGACCGCGAAGCCCGCCAUCUGCGGCUGGGGUGCAUUUUGUAAAUCCGGCGUCCACGCAGCGAAGGUAACGCGU